UGGCGGCAUGCCUUACACAUGCAAGUCGAACGGCAGCACGGGAGCAAUCCUGGUGGCGAGUGGCGAACGGGUGAGUAAUAUAUCGGAACGUGCCCAGUCGUGGGGGAUAACGCAGCGAAAGCUGUGCUAAUACCGCAUACGAUCUAAGGAUGAAAGCGGGGGACCGUAAGGCCUCGCGCGAUUGGAGCGGCCGAUAUCAGAUUAGCUAGUUGGUGGGGUAAAAGCCCACCAAGGCGACGAUCUGUAGCUGGUCUGAGAGGACGACCAGCCACACUGGAACUGAGACACGGUCCAGACUCCUACGGGAGGCAGCAGUGGGGAAUUUUGGACAAUGGGCGCAAGCCUGAUCCAGCAAUGCCGCGUGCAGGAUGAAGGCCUUCGGGUUGUAAACUGCUUUUGUACGGAACGAAACGGCUCCUUCUAAUACAAGGGGCUAAUGACGGUACCGUAAGAAUAAGCACCGGCUAACUACGUGCCAGCAGCCGCGGUAAUACGUAGGGUGCGAGCGUUAAUCGGAAUUACUGGGCGUAAAGCGUGCGCAGGCGGUUAUAUAAGACAGAUGUGAAAUCCCCGGGCUCAACCUGGGACCUGCAUUUGUGACUGUAUAGCUAGAGUACGGUAGAGGGGGAUGGAAUUCCGCGUGUAGCAGUGAAAUGCGUAGAUAUGCGGAGGAACACCGAUGGCGAAGGCAAUCCCCUGGACCUGUACUGACGCUCAUGCACGAAAGCGUGGGGAGCAAACAGGAUUAGAUACCCUGGUAGUCCACGCCCUAAACGAUGUCAACUGGUUGUUGGGUCUUCACUGACUCAGUAACGAAGCUAACGCGUGAAGUUGACCGCCUGGGGAGUACGGCCGCAAGG
This 860-nucleotide ribosomal RNA is filed under the name uncultured bacterium. RNAcentral describes it as "bacterial SSU rRNA". It matches the Rfam family "Bacterial small subunit ribosomal RNA", at positions 37 to 893 of the family's 1533-position model. The record is from RNAcentral.